RNAcentral lists this unclassified non-coding RNA (225 nucleotides) under uncultured fungus. Its description in RNAcentral is "sequence contains ITS1, 5.8S rRNA gene". The stretch from base 177 to 225 matches the Rfam family "5.8S ribosomal RNA", at positions 1 to 49 of the family's 154-position model. Lineage: Eukaryota; Fungi. The record is from RNAcentral.
UUUCCGUAGGUGAACCUGCGGAAGGAUCAUUACCUAGAGUUGUAGGCUUUGCCUGCUAUCUCUUACCCAUGUCUAUUGCGUACUAUUUGUUUCCUCGGCGGGCUUGCUCGCCGAUUGGACAACUAUUAUACUCUUUUGUAAUUGUAAUCAGCGUCUGAAUAAACUAUAAUAGUUACAACUUUCAACAACGGAUCUCUUGGUUCUGGCAUCGAUGAAGAACGCAGC